This is a long non-coding RNA of Sinocyclocheilus grahami, 101 nucleotides long. RefSeq lists it as uncharacterized. The transcript has 3 exons. The record is from RefSeq and is a predicted model, not a curated record. Lineage: Eukaryota; Metazoa; Chordata; Actinopteri; Cypriniformes; Cyprinidae.
AAUUCUCCUAGAUACCAGUGAAUCAGCAGCUGAACUCUACACUGUAUAUGAUCCAAAAGUAGCAAAGUAAGUUGAGAAAGUGUGUUUCCAUUUUGAAGUAA